Long non-coding RNA from Lytechinus pictus (painted urchin), 914 nucleotides. RefSeq lists it as uncharacterized. NCBI's taxonomy places the organism in Eukaryota, Metazoa, Echinodermata, Echinoidea, Temnopleuroida, Toxopneustidae. The record is from RefSeq and is a predicted model, not a curated record. The transcript is spliced from 3 exons.
UAGGACACCUUCAUCAGGCUCAACUUCUCAAGGAAGUCAGAUCGGAAAUGGUGUGACGCAACUCACGCAAGGCCCUCUUUCAAGGACUUCUUCAUCAUGCUCAACUUCACAAGGAAGUCAGAUCAGAUCUGGUGUGACGCAAAUCACGCAAGGCCCCCUUUCAAGUCAUGAAGAAAGAACUCCAAAGCCGCAGUCUCGCGGAUUAAAGAGGGGAUGUACAAGUAAUUCCCACCACAACACCGGGCCCAAAACGUCAACCCGCUCAAGUGAAGAAAGACUUGUUGAAUUGGCGGAAGAAGAACACCAAAUACGCCUUGAAUACAUGAGAAUCGAGCAUGAAUUUAACAUGGAAAUCCUCAAAGUCAAGAAGAAAACAGAAGAAGCUAAGCUCAAGGCAGCUCUUUCAUCCUGUGAGGAUUAAAUCCUCCUUACUGCCUUAUUUCAUCUAUGAUUUUGAUGAACUUUGAAGUGUUUUCAUUCGUUUAUGUUUCUUCAUAUUUCUUCAGAACAUUUAGUUUACUAGGUGGACUUGUCCCUUACAUUGGCAUUAAUUACAAAUUCCAUAUAUCCUUCUUAUUUCACUUUGAUGUUGGUACAUUUAAUUACUUCAGAUCUCAACCUGUAAGAGGUAGUUCUGCCCUUUGACACGAAUGGCAGUAACUGUAACAGUAUCUUUUAAUGCUCCUUAUCUUGUCUUUUAGAAAGUUCAAGUAUUUUAGAUACAAGUUCUUUCAUCAUAAUUUUCAUUAACAAAAAUUCUUUAUCAGAGAGCAUGUUCCAAUCACCCAUGCCAUCUCUUGUAAAAAGACAUAUAUUUUUAUGAGUACAUAUAUAUAUAUAUAAAUAUAUUUAUUAGACCACCAAUGUCAAUAAAGUUGAAGAAAUAUCUUUUAUGCAGAAGAUAAACGUCAAUA